Molecule: ribosomal RNA, 635 nt
Filed under: uncultured bacterium
Lineage: Bacteria
Description: bacterial SSU rRNA
Rfam family: Bacterial small subunit ribosomal RNA (bases 1-538)
Source: RNAcentral
CCUACGGGAGGCAGCAGUAAGGAAUAUUGGUCAAUGGUGGCAACACUGAACCAGCCAUGCCGCGUGCAGGAUGAAGGUUCUAUGAAUUGUAAACUGCUUUUAUACGGGAAAAAACUUUCGAACGUGUUCGAAACUGAUGGUACCGUAAGAAUAAGGAUCGGCUAACUUCGUGCCAGCAGCCGCGGUAAGACGAAGGAUCCAAGCGUUAUCCGGAUUUAUUGGGUUUAAAGGGUGCGUAGGUGGACUUGUAAGUCAGUGGUGAAAGCCCGAUGCUUAACAUCGGAACUGCCAUUGAUACUGCAAGUCUUGAAUAUGUUUGAAGCGGGCGGAAUGUGUCGUGUAGCGGUGAAAUGCUUAGAUAUGACACAGAACACCGAUUGCGAAGGCAGCUCACUAAACCAUUAUUGACACUGAGGCACGAAAGCGUGGGGAGCAAACAGGAUUAGAUACCCUGGUAGUCCACGCCCUAAACGUUGAAUACUCGAUGUGUGCGAUACACUGUACGCGUCCAACGAGAAUACGUUAAGUUAUUCCUACCGUCGGGAGGUACGCGUCGCGAGAGUAGAACGUACAAAUAGAAGUUAGUACGGCGUGAGACGUAGACCGACGGACGACCGACGAGGGGAGGGUUAGGG